AGACCAUGAUGUGGGCAUUUCCUUAAUAACUCCUUGAACUUUUUCCAUGUUUCGUGCAAGGAUUCCCCGUCUUCUUGAGAGUAGGAGUUAAUCUUGGUCAUGAGUUU
Molecule: non-coding RNA, 107 nt
Organism: Helianthus annuus (common sunflower)
Lineage: Eukaryota; Viridiplantae; Streptophyta; Magnoliopsida; Asterales; Asteraceae
Source: Rfam